UACGUAGGGGGCUAGCGUUGUCCGGAAUCAUUGGGCGUAAAGCGCGUGUAGGCGGUCCGGUAAGUCCGCUGUGAAAGUCGGGGGCUCAACCCUCGGAUGCCGGUGGAUACUGUCGGGCUAGAGUGCGGGAGAGGCGAGUGGAAUUCCUGGUGUAGCGGUGAAACGCGCAGAUAUCAGGAAGAACACCCGUGGCUAAGGCGGUUCUCUAGUACGGUACUGACGCUGAGACGCGAAAGCGUGGGGAGCGAACAGG
Molecule: ribosomal RNA, 253 nt
Filed under: uncultured bacterium
Lineage: Bacteria
Description: partial 16S ribosomal RNA
Rfam family: Bacterial small subunit ribosomal RNA
Source: RNAcentral